AUUGAACGCUGGCGGCAUGCCUUACACAUGCAAGUCGAACGGCAGCACGGGAGCAAUCCUGGUGGCGAGUGGCGAACGGGUGAGUAAUACAUCGGAACGCGCCCAGUAGUGGGGGAUAGCCCGGCGAAAGCCGGAUUAAUACCGCAUACGACCUAUGGGUGAAAGCGGGGGAUCGCAAGACCUCGCGCUAUUGGAGCGGCCGAUGUCAGAUUAGCUAGUUGGUGGGGUAAAGGCCUACCAAGGCGACGAUCUGUAGCCGGUCUGAGAGGACGAACAGCCACACUGGGACUGAGACACGGCCCAGACUCCUACGGGAGGCAGCAGUGGGGAAUUUUGGACAAUGGGCGCAAGCCUGAUCCAGACAUGCCGCGUGCGGGAAGAAGGCCUUCGGGUUGUAAACCGCUUUUGUCAGGGAAGAAACGCUCCGAGUUAAUACCUCGGAGUAAUGACGGUACCUGAAGAAUAAGCACCGGCUAACUACGUGCCAGCAGCCGCCGUAA
This 500-nucleotide ribosomal RNA is filed under the name uncultured bacterium. RNAcentral describes it as "partial 16S ribosomal RNA". It matches the Rfam family "Bacterial small subunit ribosomal RNA", at positions 29 to 523 of the family's 1533-position model. The record is from RNAcentral.